ACAAAAGCCAGCAUGUUUGACAGCUUCUCCCCUAAACUAAUCAGUGGGAGAUGCAAGAAGAGAGGUACUCACCUGGAAUGCAAAAGACUCUUGUUCAAAUCCACCCACCACCUAAGGAGGAGAAGUGGAAGAGUUUCAGCAGGACAGAUUGAGGGAGUGCCCCCCCCACCAUUAACAACAUUCCAU
This is a long non-coding RNA of Mauremys reevesii (Reeves's turtle), 186 nucleotides long. RefSeq lists it as uncharacterized. The transcript is spliced from 3 exons. The record is from RefSeq and is a predicted model, not a curated record. Lineage: Eukaryota; Metazoa; Chordata; Testudines; Geoemydidae.